AUGGGAAUUUAAACCUCUUCCAGAGUAUCAAUUGGAGGGCAAGUCUGGUGCCAGCAGCCGCGGUAAUUCCAGCUCCAAUAGCGUAUAUUAAAAUUGUUGCAGUUAAAAAGCUCGUAGUUGAAUUUCUGCUGCAUUGCUUGUGUCCCUCUGGGGUCUGUGCAUGUGGCUUUUUUCGGACGGAGUUUCUUUGUCUGAAUGUUUACUUUGAGAAAAUUAGAGUGCUCAAAGCAGGCUUUCGCCUUGAAUAGUUUAGCAUGGAAUAAUAAAGUAGGACUUUGGUUCUAUUUUGUUGGUUUUAGGUACCAAAGUAAUGGUUAAUAGGAACAGUUGGGGGCAUUCGUAUUUAACUGUCAGAGGUGAAAUUCUUAGA
RNAcentral lists this ribosomal RNA (370 nucleotides) under Theileria annulata. RNAcentral describes it as "SSU rRNA". It matches the Rfam family "Eukaryotic small subunit ribosomal RNA", at positions 517 to 924 of the family's 1831-position model. The record is from RNAcentral. Lineage: Eukaryota; Apicomplexa; Aconoidasida; Piroplasmida; Theileriidae.